Molecule: ribosomal RNA, 254 nt
Filed under: uncultured bacterium
Lineage: Bacteria
Description: partial 16S ribosomal RNA
Rfam family: Bacterial small subunit ribosomal RNA
Source: RNAcentral
UACGGGGGGAGCAAGCGUUGUACGGAUUUACUGGGCGUAAAGGGCGCGUAGGCGGCCACCGCAAGUCAGUUGUGAAAUCUCUGGGCUUAACCCAGAAAGGUCAACUGAUACUGCGGGGCUAGAGUGCAGAAGGGGCAACUGGAAUUCUCGGUGUAGCGGUGAAAUGCGUAGAUAUCGAGAGGAACACCUGCGGCGAAGGCGGGUUGCUGGGCUGACACUGACGCUGAAGCGCGAAAGCUAGGGGAGCGAACAGG